This 365-nucleotide RNase P RNA is filed under the name uncultured Prevotella sp. Its description in RNAcentral is "Bacterial RNase P class A". It matches the Rfam family "Bacterial RNase P class A". From Rfam's summary of the family: Ribonuclease P (RNase P) is a ubiquitous endoribonuclease, found in archaea, bacteria and eukarya as well as chloroplasts and mitochondria. Lineage: Bacteria; Pseudomonadati; Bacteroidota; Bacteroidia; Bacteroidales; Prevotellaceae. The record is from RNAcentral.
GGUCUGUCGCUGGCAUUAGAAAUAAUGAAAGAGGAAAGUCCGGGCAGCAUAGGGUGCCUCACUACCUAAUAUAGUAGUAGUUCGCAAGAGUUAGGUAACGUAGAAGAAAAGAACCGCCCUGCCUUUGUGCAGGGUAAGGGUGAGAAGGUAGGGUAAGAGCCUACCAGCAUGAUGGUGACAUCGUGGCUGUGCGUCCUGGGGGCUGCAAGUUCAUGUAUACUGCCGACUGAGGGUUGCCCGCCCGAGGCAGAGGGUAGAACGCUUGAGCUGCAUGGUGACGUGCAGAGUAGAUAAAUGACAGACGCUCCAUUUCGUGACCGAAAGGUUACUGCUAUAGAGCACAGAACCCGGCUUAUAGAGAUACU